AACUUGCUGAAGAGUCCCAUACUAGGACGAAACGGCCGUCCAGUU
Molecule: non-coding RNA, 45 nt
Filed under: Schistosoma mattheei
Lineage: Eukaryota; Metazoa; Platyhelminthes; Trematoda; Strigeidida; Schistosomatidae
Source: RNAcentral